AGCCAUUCAUUCAAAGAGUGCGUAACAGCUCACUAGUCGAGAGUCCCUGCGCCGAAAAUAUCCGGGGCUGAAACACAACACCGAAGCUGUGGAAUCAUACCUAGUAUGAUUGGUAGAGGAGCAUUCUUAAGACCGACGAAGCUGUACCGGUAAGGAGCAGUGGAGGGAUAAGAAGAGAGAAUGCCGGAAUGAGUAGCGAGAGGAAGGUGAGAAUCCUUCCGGCCGAAUAUCCAAGGAUUCCAGGGUAAAGCUGAUCUGCCCUGGGUAAGUCGGGACCUAAGGAGAGGCCGAGAGGCGUAUCCGAUGGACAACAGGUUUAGAUUCCUGUACCACAUAUGGUCAGAACUGUGGGGACGCAGAAGGAAAGCAUGAGCCAGGAAUGGAAAGACUGGUACAAGCAGAGGGGAUGGUGUGCUGGCAAAUCCGCACACGAAAAUCCUUGCUGUGAUGUGGAGCGAACUAGAGUAGCGAAGCAUGCGGACCGGCUGCCGAGAAAAGCCGCUAUUGUGCCAUAUGUGCCCGUACCGUAAACCGACACAGGUGGAUGAGGAGAGAAUCCUAAGGCCGACGGAAGAAGUAUUGUUAAGGAACUCGGCAAAAUGACCCCGUAACUUCGGGAGAAGGGGUGCCUGAGAAAUCAGGCCGCAGAGAAUAGGCUCAAGCAACUGUUUAGCAAAAACACAGGUCUAUGCAAAACCGAAAGGUGAAGUAUAUGGGCUGACGCCUGCCCGGUGCUGGAAGGUUAAGAGGAGAGGUUAGCGCAAGCGAAGCUUUGAAUUUAAGCCCCAGUAAACGGCGGCCGUAACUAUAACGGUCCUAAGGUAGCGAAAUUCCUUGUCGGGUAAGUUCCGACCCGCACGAAAGGCGUAAUGAUUUGAGCACUGUCUCGACAAUACAUCCGGUGAAAUUGAAGUACCAGUGAAGAUGCUGGUUACCCGCGCCAGGACGGAAAGACCCCAUGGAGCUUUACUCCAGUUUGGUACUGGGAUUCGGUACUGCAUGUACAGGAUAGGUGGGAGACGAAGAAGUUAGGACGCCAGUCUUAACAGAGUCGCUGUUGGGAUACCACCCUUGCAGUAUUGGGUUUCUAACCAGCCGCUGUGAACCAGCGGUGGGACAAUGCCAGGCGGGGAGUUUGACUGGGGCGGUCGCCUCCGAAAGGGUAUCGGAGGCGCUCAAAGGUUCCCUCAGAAUGGUCGGAAACCAUUUAAAGAGUGCAAAGGCAGAAGGGAGCUUGACUGCGACACCGACGGGUGGAGCAGGUACGAAAGUAGGACUUAGUGAUCCGGUGGCAUAAAGUGGGAUUGCCAUCGCUCAACGGAUAAAAGCUACCCUGGGGAUAACAGGCUUAUCACUCCCAAGAGUUCACAUCGACGGAGUGGUUUGGCACCUCGAUGUCGGCUCAUCGCAUCCUGGGGCUGUAGCAGGUCCCAAGGGUUGGGCUGUUCGCCCAUUAAAGCGGUACGCGAGCUGGGUUCAGAACGUCGUGAGACAGUUCGGUCCCUAUCCGGCGCGGGCGUAGGAUAUCUGAGGGGAGCUGGCCUUAGUACGAGAGGACCGGGCUGGACGGACCACUGGUGCAUCAGCUGGAUACCAAAUCCAUAGCUGGGUAGCCAAGUCCGGAAGGGAUAAACGCUGAAGGCAUCUAAGCGUGAAGCCCCCCCCAAGAUGAGAUGUCCCUGUCUAUAAGACAGUAAGACCCCUGAAAGAGUAUCAGGUAGAUAGGGCAGAGGUGGAAGCACGGUAACGUGUGGAGCUGACUGUUACUAAUCGGUCGAGGGCUUGACCAAA
Molecule: ribosomal RNA, 1791 nt
Filed under: Roseburia sp. OM04-10BH
Lineage: Bacteria; Bacillati; Bacillota; Clostridia; Lachnospirales; Lachnospiraceae
Description: bacterial LSU rRNA
Rfam family: Bacterial large subunit ribosomal RNA
Source: RNAcentral